Molecule: ribosomal RNA, 792 nt
Filed under: uncultured archaeon
Lineage: Archaea
Description: bacterial SSU rRNA
Rfam family: Archaeal small subunit ribosomal RNA
Source: RNAcentral
ACGGCUCAGUAACACGUGGAUAACCUACCCAAUAGUCUGGGAUAACCCUUGGGAAACUGGGGAUAAUACCGGAUGGAUCAUCUUUGCUGGAAGGCUUGGUGGUUGAAACGCGAGGCUGUUGGAUGGGUCUGCGGCUGAUUAGGUUGUUGCCGGUGUAAUGUACCGUCAAGCCUGUAAUCAGUACGGGUUGUGGGAGCAAGAGCCCGGAGAUGGAUUCUGAGACACGAAUCCAGGCCCUACGGGGCGCAGCAGGCGCGAAAACUCUACAAUGCAGGCAACUGCGAUAGGGGAACAUCGAGUGGCGUCCAUAUUGGAUGUCUGUCCACCCGCCUAAAAAGCGGGUGUUAGCAAGGGCCGGGCAAGACCGGUGCCAGCCGCCGCGGUAAUACCGGCGGCUCGAGUGGUGGCCGAUAUUAUUGAGUCUAAAGGGUCCGUAGCCGGCUUUGCAAGUCUCUCGGGAAAUCCAGCGGCUUAACCGUUGGGCGUCUGGGGGCUACUACAUUGCUUGGGACUGGGAGAGGCGAGAGGUACUCAGGGGGUAGGAGUGAAAUCCUGUAAUCCUUUGGGGACCACCGGUGGCGAAGGCGUCUCGCCAGAACAGGUCCGACGGUGAGGGACGAAAGCUAGGGGCACGAACCGGAUUAGAUACCCGGGUAGUCCUAGCCGUAAACGAUGCUCGCUAGGUGUCACAACAGUCGUGAACUGUUGUGGUGCCGUAGGGAAGCCGUGAAGCGAGCCACUUGGGAAGUACGACCGCAAGGUUGAAACUUAAAGGAAUUGGCGGGGGAGCAC